Molecule: long non-coding RNA, 657 nt
Organism: Gasterosteus aculeatus aculeatus (three-spined stickleback)
Lineage: Eukaryota; Metazoa; Chordata; Actinopteri; Perciformes; Gasterosteidae
Source: Ensembl
UCUUUUCAAAAGAAAAGUCCCGUUUGAUGCCAUCAAAGGAAACACUGCGUUGAACAUUUGUAUGUUUUUCAGUUUUCGAUACCGCAAGUCAAUGGGUGGUAUACUUGGUUUUUUCCAGAUUCUGAGUAUGACCUGUUAUACUCAAAAGAUCUGAAACACUUAAAGUGAUGUGAACUGCUUCAUCGUGUGAGUUCUUGAAACAUAUUUAAAGGAAGCAUGAAGGAGAUAAAACACAACAGGGGGAAAGCAGGUCAAGGAGGAAGAAGAACACGGCGGGACAGAUGGAGGGAAGAAGAGAUGUCACUCUUCAGGGGUCAAACCCAGACUGAAUGGCAAUUGAGUGGCUGUAAAGAAACCCGUUUCGAGUGCCCUCCGUCAGGCCUGAGCCAUGGAGCCGGUUGCCUAGGAGACACAUCACCUUCCACCAUGCGGGACGACGGCUCCCGCAGAUCAACCCAUUCAUUCCUGUGACGUGAGCAGCGGCGAUAACGUUGACGCCAGUGCACCGUGAGCCCGUGUGGCUUCCUGGCGGAGGAGAGCUUCGUCUUUACAGCCGCUUUGUUGCUCCCGUCUCCUUGGCAACGCUCCACAGGUUAUCUUGAACAUAUAGACUCCGACCAUAAUAGAGUCCACCGCUCAGCAUGUUAGUGCCAACCG